RNAcentral lists this long non-coding RNA (404 nucleotides) under Nicotiana benthamiana. RNAcentral's name for it is "long non-coding RNA (NBEN_LNC027815)". The record is from RNAcentral. Lineage: Eukaryota; Viridiplantae; Streptophyta; Magnoliopsida; Solanales; Solanaceae.
CAACAUGCCACCGGGGGGGCCUCCCAACAUGAGGAAUCCACCGCCUCCCAACAUGGGCGGGAUGCAGCAACCUAACAUGGGAGGUCCGCCCAACAUGGGCGGGAUGCACCAGCAGGGCGGGCCUCCCAACAUGAGGAAUCCACCCCCUCCCAACAUGGUCGGGAUGCAGCAACCUAACAUGGGAGGUCCUCCUAACAUGGGCGGGAUGCACCAGCAACCUAACAUGGGAGGUCCGCCUAACAUGGGCGGGAUGCACCAGCAGGGCAUGGGAGGUCCACCCAACAUGGGCGGGAUGCACCAGCAGGGCAUGGGAGGGCCACCCAACCCAGGCGGGAUGCACCAGCCGGGCAUGGGAGGGCCACCCAACCCAGGCGGGAUGCACCAGCCGGGCAUGGGAAGGCCAC